UACGUAGGUGGCAAGCGUUGUCCGGAAUUAUUGGGCGUAAAGCGCGCGCAGGUGGUUUCUUAAGUCUGAUGUGAAAGCCCACGGCUCAACCGUGGAGGGUCAUUGGAAACUGGGGAACUUGAGUGCAGGAGAGAAGAGUGGAAUUCCACGUGUAGCGGUGAAAUGCGUAGAGAUCCGGAAGAACACCGGUGGCGAAGGCGGCCUGCUGGGCUAUGGCUGACACUGAGGCGCGACAGCGUGGGGAGCAAACAGG
RNAcentral lists this ribosomal RNA (253 nucleotides) under uncultured bacterium. RNAcentral's name for it is "partial 16S ribosomal RNA". It matches the Rfam family "Bacterial small subunit ribosomal RNA", at positions 524 to 776 of the family's 1533-position model. The record is from RNAcentral.